UAAUUAAGCGGAGGAAAAGAAACUAACUAGGAUUCCCUCAGUAACGGCGAGUGAAGCGGGACUAGCUCAGGAUGUGAAUCUGCGCUUUUAUGGCGCCGAAUUGUGGUCUGUAGACUUUGACAUUAUUUGCCGGGCCAAGUUCCUUGGAAAAGGACAGCUGAGAGGGUGACACUCCCGUCCGCCUGGUAAAGUGAGUCAUUUGUCAACGAGUCGAGUUGUUUGGGAUUGCAGCUCUAAUUUGGUGGUAAAUUCCAUCUAAAGCUAAAUAUUGGUGGG
This 276-nucleotide ribosomal RNA is filed under the name Pseudo-nitzschia pungens. Its description in RNAcentral is "partial 28S ribosomal RNA". It matches the Rfam family "Eukaryotic large subunit ribosomal RNA", at positions 43 to 330 of the family's 3401-position model. The record is from RNAcentral. Lineage: Eukaryota; Bacillariophyta; Bacillariophyceae; Bacillariales; Bacillariaceae.